AUUGAACGCUGGCGGCAUGCUUUACACAUGCAAGUCGUGCGGCAGCGCGAGGGCAACCUUGGCGGCGAGCGGCGAACGGGUGAGGAAUACAUCGGAACGUACCCCGGAGUGGGGGAGUAACCCAGCGAAAGUUGGACUAAUACCGCAUAUGCUCUGAGGAGGAAAGCAGGGGACUUCGCAAGAGGCCUUGCGCUCUGGGAGCGGCCGAUGUCCGAUUAGCUAGUGGUGGGGUAAUGGCUCACCAAGGCGACGAUCGGUAGCUGGUCUGAGAGGAUGAUCAGCCACACUGGGACUGAGACACGGGCCCAGACUCCUACGGGAGGCAGCAGUGGGGAAUUUUGGACAAUGGGGGCAACCCUGAUCCAGCCAUGCCGCGUGCGGG
RNAcentral lists this ribosomal RNA (382 nucleotides) under uncultured bacterium. Its description in RNAcentral is "bacterial SSU rRNA". It matches the Rfam family "Bacterial small subunit ribosomal RNA", at positions 28 to 407 of the family's 1533-position model. The record is from RNAcentral.